GAUGAAGAACGCAGCGAAAUGCGAUAAGUAAUGUGAAUUGCAGAAUUCAGUGAAUCAUCGAAUCUUUGAACGCACAUUGCGCCCGCCAGUAUUCUGGCGGGCAUGCCUGUCCGAGCGUCAUUUCAACCCUCGAACCCCUCCGGGGGGUCGGCGUUGGGGAUCGGCCCCUCACCGGGCCGCCCCCGAAAUCCAGUGGCGGUCUCGCUGCAGCCUCUCCUGCGCAGUAGUUUGCACACUCGCACCGGGAGCGCGGCGCGGCCACAGCCGUAAAACACCCCAAACUCUGAAAUGUUGACCUCGGAUCAGGUAGGAAUACCCGCUGAACUUAAGCAUAUCAAUAAGCGGAGGA
RNAcentral lists this unclassified non-coding RNA (349 nucleotides) under soil metagenome. RNAcentral describes it as "partial contains 5.8S ribosomal RNA, internal transcribed spacer 2, and large subunit ribosomal RNA". The stretch from base 1 to 120 matches the Rfam family "5.8S ribosomal RNA", at positions 35 to 154 of the family's 154-position model. The record is from RNAcentral.